Molecule: small RNA, 177 nt
Filed under: Rhodanobacteraceae bacterium
Lineage: Bacteria; Pseudomonadati; Pseudomonadota; Gammaproteobacteria; Lysobacterales; Rhodanobacteraceae
Description: 6S RNA
Rfam family: 6S / SsrS RNA
About the family: E. coli 6S RNA was the first non coding RNA to be sequenced, but its function was unknown until recently. It consists of 184 nucleotides that fold into an extended hairpin structure with a large single-stranded internal bulge.
Source: RNAcentral
GCCGUGCUGUUGCACGGGCAUUUAUUGCCUUGUCCCAUAUAUAAACCCCGGGAUCGCAGAGUUCGGUCGGUGUGCAUGUCCGCUACGUGCGGAAAGCCCGAUGACCGACGCGCCUUCCCACCUGAUCCUAGGGAUCAAGGGUUUGUCCGUGUGCGGUAUCGGCAUUGCGGUGCACCU